AAGUCGUAACAAGGUUUCCGUAGGUGAACCUGCGGAAGGAUCAUUACUGAAUGACAUGCGCCUGUUUGUGGUAGACCAUUGCCUGCCCAUCGCAUUGUGAUGAUAAUCAACUCAACCCACAGCCCGCGACGGCCCUGCAACCAUACACGGUGGGCCUGUUUGGGAAUGGCUGAAGUUGGUUAGAUGUCGGAUGCCGUUGCGGCAGACCUUUGGUCUCCCAUGCCUUUUUUCACCACACAAAUCCUGUCGUCGUAUGGUCGUGGCAUCCUUUUGUCGGGUUGCCCCUAAAUAUAUAAAUAUAACUUUCAACAACGGAUCUCUUGGCUCUC
RNAcentral lists this unclassified non-coding RNA (329 nucleotides) under fungal sp. Its description in RNAcentral is "partial internal transcribed spacer region". The stretch from base 1 to 46 matches the Rfam family "Eukaryotic small subunit ribosomal RNA", at positions 1786 to 1831 of the family's 1831-position model. The record is from RNAcentral. Lineage: Eukaryota; Fungi.